CGCAAGGGGAGUGGCAGACGGGUGAGUAACGCGUGGGAACAUACCCUUUCCUGCGGAAUAGCUCCGGGAAACUGGAAUUAAUACCGCAUACGCCCUACGGGGGAAAGAUUUAUCGGGGAAGGAUUGGCCCGCGUUGGAUUAGCUAGUUGGUGGGGUAAAGGCCUACCAAGGCGACGAUCCAUAGCUGGUCUGAGAGGAUGAUCAGCCACAUUGGGACUGAGACACGGCCCAAACUCCUACGGGAGGCAGCAGUGGGGAAUAUUGGACAAUGGGCGCAAGCCUGAUCCAGCCAUGCCGCGUGAGUGAUGAAGGCCUUAGGGUUGUAAAGCUCUUUCACCGAUGAAGAUAAUGACGGUAGUCGGAGAAGAAGCCCCGGCUAACUUCGUGCCAGCAGCCGCGGUAAUACGAAGGGGGCUAGCGUUGUUCGGAAUUACUGGGCGUARAGCGCACGUAGGCGGAUAUUUAAGUCAGGGGUGAAAUCCCGCAGCUCAACUGCGGAACUGCCUUUGAUACUGGGUAUCUUGAGUAUGGAAGAGGUAAGUGGAAUUCCGAGUGUAGAGGUGAAAUUCGUAGAUAUUCGGAGGAACACCAGUGGCGAAGGCGGCUUACUGGUCCAUUACUGA
This 623-nucleotide ribosomal RNA is filed under the name Agrobacterium pusense. Its description in RNAcentral is "bacterial SSU rRNA". It matches the Rfam family "Bacterial small subunit ribosomal RNA", at positions 85 to 743 of the family's 1533-position model. The record is from RNAcentral. Lineage: Bacteria; Pseudomonadati; Pseudomonadota; Alphaproteobacteria; Hyphomicrobiales; Rhizobiaceae.